UUGAAAGGGAAACGAUUGAAGUCAGUCGUGCUGGCGCGAAAUCAACCUUCUCGUCUUGAGAUCACAUGGCGUGGCGAGCCUCAAAACCGUCACGAAGCGUGAACUCUUGGUGAAAUGGAGCACUUUCGUGUCCGCUGGUUAACAUCAAUUUCGAACGUCAUAAAAAGGCUGGAGGGAUGUGGCUCCUUCGGGAGUGUUAUAACCUUUAGCGGAAUGUGGUGUUCGGGAUUGAGGAUUGCAACGAAUACCUUUAGGGCUGUUCCACCUGGCUUCUCUUUGGUAUCCUGGUGACGACAGCUUGCUGACGUCGUUAGGAUUCGCCUUUGAACAGGUUAGAGUGUGAGCGAAUUCGUUAAGGAUGUUGACGUA
Molecule: ribosomal RNA, 369 nt
Filed under: uncultured Glomeromycotina
Lineage: Eukaryota; Fungi; Glomeromycota
Description: LSU rRNA
Source: RNAcentral